CACACGUUUUGGAGCAUAUUCCAAGCCAAUAUAUCACACUUUAGAACCCCAUCGAGCAGGAAAGUCGGAAUUUAAAAGGCAAGUAAAUCUUUCAAACUGUUGUAGCAUUUAAAUUAUGUGGUACAUUUAACUACUGAACCUUUCAGAAUAUUGUCGAAUUGGGCAUGGCAUGGAAUAAUAGUGAAUUUAACAUACUGACAAAAUCUCAAAUGCAGUAAAUUUCAAGGCUAAAUAUUGGAAAUUCCACUGGAAAUAUGGCGUUUUACCGCCAUGCAUACAUAGCUAUUCACAGCCCAAGAAUUACUCAGAAUUACAACAGAUUGAUAACGUG
This is a long non-coding RNA of Dendronephthya gigantea, 331 nucleotides long. RefSeq lists it as uncharacterized. The record is from RefSeq and is a predicted model, not a curated record. Lineage: Eukaryota; Metazoa; Cnidaria; Anthozoa; Malacalcyonacea; Nephtheidae. The transcript has 3 exons.